Molecule: non-coding RNA, 26 nt
Filed under: Rattus norvegicus (Norway rat)
Lineage: Eukaryota; Metazoa; Chordata; Mammalia; Rodentia; Muridae
Source: RNAcentral
AUAUGUUGGAAUUGCUUUUAAAAGGU